GUGUGCCUGGCUCCCUGUAUGCCACACAUGUAGCCCAACCCAUAUGCUAAGGUUGCCUGCUGUGGGUGGCGUGCAAGGGGCCAAGCAUGC
Sorghum bicolor (sorghum) is the source of this 90-nucleotide microRNA precursor. It matches the Rfam family "mir-160 microRNA precursor family". From Rfam's summary of the family: The hairpin precursors (represented here) are predicted based on base pairing and cross-species conservation -- their extents are not known. In this case the mature sequence is excised from the 5' arm of the hairpin. The record is from Rfam. NCBI's taxonomy places the organism in Eukaryota, Viridiplantae, Streptophyta, Magnoliopsida, Poales, Poaceae.